UACGGAGGGCGCAAGCGUUGUUCGGAAUCACUGGGCGUAAAGCGCGUGUAGGCGGCUUGGUAAGUCGGGUGUGAAAGCCCGGAGCUCAACUCCGGAACUGCACUCGAAACUGCCUCGCUCGAGUCCCGGAGAGGGUGGUGGAAUUCCAGGUGUAGAGGUGAAAUUCGUAGAUAUCGGGAGGAACACCAGUGGCGAAGGCGGCCACCUGGACGGUGACUGACGCUGAGACGAGAAAGCGUGGGGAGCAAACAGG
Molecule: ribosomal RNA, 253 nt
Filed under: uncultured bacterium
Lineage: Bacteria
Description: partial 16S ribosomal RNA
Rfam family: Bacterial small subunit ribosomal RNA
Source: RNAcentral